CCCUUAGAUGCUCUGGGCCGCACGCGCGCUACACUGGUCGAUGCAACGAGUUUCUUUCCUUGGCCGACAGGCCUGGGCAAUCUUUGAACAUCGAUCGUGAUCGGGAUAGAUUCUUGUAAUUUCUGAUCUUAAACGAGGAAUUCCUAGUAAACGCAAGUCAUCAGCUUGCAUUGAUUACGUCCCUGCCCUUUGUACACACCGCCCGUCGCACCUACCGAUUGAAUGGUCCGGUGAAAUCUCCGGACUGGCGUGAGUCGGAGCAAUCUGACAAACGCCGGAAAGUUGAUUAAACCUUACCAUUUAGAGGAAGGUGAAGUCGUAACA
This 324-nucleotide ribosomal RNA is filed under the name uncultured eukaryote. Its description in RNAcentral is "partial 18S ribosomal RNA". It matches the Rfam family "Eukaryotic small subunit ribosomal RNA", at positions 1470 to 1796 of the family's 1831-position model. The record is from RNAcentral.